AGAGUUUGAUCCUGGCUCAGAAUCAACGCUGGCGGCGUGCCUAACACAUGCAAGUCGAACGAGAAAGUGGAGCAAUCCAUGAGUAAAGUGGCGACCGGGUGAGUAACACGUGACCAACCUGCCUUCCAGUGGGGAAUAACGCCGGGAAACCGGGGCUAAUACCGCAUAACAUCUUCGAGACGCCGGUCUUGGGGAUCAAA
This 200-nucleotide ribosomal RNA is filed under the name uncultured bacterium. RNAcentral's name for it is "partial 16S ribosomal RNA". It matches the Rfam family "Bacterial small subunit ribosomal RNA", at positions 8 to 205 of the family's 1533-position model. The record is from RNAcentral.